GAUGAACGCUGGCGGCGUGCCUAAUACAUGCAAGUCGAGCGAACGGACGAGAAGCUUGCUUUUCUGAUGUUAGCGGCGGACGGGUGAGUAACACGUGGAUAACCUACCUAUAAGACUGGGAUAACUUCGGGAAACCGGAGCUAAUACCGGAUAAUAGUUUGAACCGCAUGGUUCAAAAGUGAAAGACGGUCUUGCUGUCACUUAUAGAUGGAUCCGCGCUGCAUUAGCUAGUUGGUAAGGUAACGGCUUACCAAGGCAACGAGGCAUAGCCGACCUGAGAGGGUGAUCGGCCACACUGGAACUGAGACACGGUCCAGACUCCUACGGGAGGCAGCAGUAGGGAAUCUUCCGCAAUGGGCGAAAGCCUGACGGAGCAACGCCGCGUGAGUGAUGAAGGUCUUCGGAUCGUAAAACUCUGUUAUUAGGGAAGAACAUAUGUGUAAGUAACUGUGCACAUCUUGACGGUACCUAAUCAGAAAGCCACGGCUAACUACGUG
This 497-nucleotide ribosomal RNA is filed under the name uncultured bacterium. Its description in RNAcentral is "partial 16S ribosomal RNA". It matches the Rfam family "Bacterial small subunit ribosomal RNA", at positions 28 to 507 of the family's 1533-position model. The record is from RNAcentral.